This 651-nucleotide long non-coding RNA is filed under the name Phascolarctos cinereus (koala). RNAcentral's name for it is "lncRNA (ENSPCIG00000031029.1)". The record is from RNAcentral. Lineage: Eukaryota; Metazoa; Chordata; Mammalia; Diprotodontia; Phascolarctidae.
AUGGAUUGUGAAGUUAUCCCCUCCAGAGCCGAAGAAGUCCGGAGGAGGCGAGUGCACGGUCAAAGCCGGCCCCACCGAAGGAACUUUCUGGGCAGAGUUUUUGUAAAGAGAAAAGGUUUCCAAAGACAUUUGAGAAGCUACUGGACCAACUAUGGAAUCAGAAUGUACUGCAUUAGUGCCUAUCCUAGAUUUGUGAUGUGAUGGAAUAACUCAAUGGAUGGAGAUACUACAAUCAUCCCAAUGCCCCAGGAAGUUCAUUAUUAGGAUAACCUCAUCCUCCUUUAGGAUCUCAUCAGCCUUGGUACUCCACGUCAUUACUCCCCUCUGCUUCUUACAUUGAAGGGGUGUGUGUGUGUGUGUGUGUGUGUGUGUGUGUGUGUAAUGAACUCUGAAUUUCUACUUAAGGAGGAAGCUCAGCUCUGAUAACUUCUCAUUUCUCACCAAGCUACACCAUGUUGGGUAUUCUCUUACUUUUCCACCAUCCCCCAUGCCCUUUUCAGCUUCUUUUUUAUAUUAUUUCCCAUUAGAUUGGAAGCUCCUUGAGGGCAGGGACUAUUUCUUUUCUGUGUGUAUUUGUAUCCCUUGUGCUUAGCUCACUGCCUGGCACAUAGUAUGCGCUUAAUAAAUGCUGAUUGAUUGAGAAAGAAAGCA